GUAGUCAUGGCUGAGUGGUUAAGGUGAUGAACUAGAAAUCCCUUGGGGUCUCCCCAUGCAGGUUCAAAUCUUGCUGACUAUG
This 82-nucleotide transfer RNA is filed under the name Alligator mississippiensis (American alligator). RNAcentral's name for it is "tRNA-Ser (AGA) (tRNA-Ser-AGA-8-1)". It matches the Rfam family "tRNA". From Rfam's summary of the family: Transfer RNA (tRNA) molecules are approximately 80 nucleotides in length. Their secondary structure includes four short double-helical elements and three loops (D, anti-codon, and T loops). Lineage: Eukaryota; Metazoa; Chordata; Crocodylia; Alligatoridae. The record is from Rfam by way of RNAcentral.